UGUAAGGGCCUCAUCACAGUCAACUGCCAGUCCCAUCGCUCCCUCAUCUUGGUGCUACUGCGACUGCGCUGUCUUUCUGCACACAUUAUGCAUCCGGCAGGACACUGUUAGAGUUGACGUUAAAAUCACAACACGUCUUUUAGAGAAACGAGAGAGGGAAAGAGACAGAGCCUGGCAUCUCCCCACAUAUGCUGCACGUCUUGUGCUCUUCAUCUCUUCCUGUAGAUCUGAGUUACCAUCUGCCACUUCCCUUCACUCUAAAACUUCCUUCAGUCCAAGUCUGCUGGCAACGAACUUCCUCAGUUUUUGUUUAUCUGGAAAUGUCUUUAUUUCUCAUUUUUGAAAGAUAGUUUCUCCGGACACUGAGGUUUUGCUUGUAUUGUCGGUGAGCCUCCUGGACUGAAUCUGCUGGAUCUGUCCCUCCAUGUUGUGCAGCCAUGAUGUUUCUGCUCAGAAGCUUUCAGCAGCAAACGGCUUUCCUUCUAGAGGACUCUACAUUAAAUCGGGGCAAAUAUCAGGGCAAACUAAAUUCCUCCCUCAUCACUUCCCUGGGUUGGUGACCUACACAGAAGAGCAGAGCAGUAACUGGACCAGCCAGAUCCAGCCCAGCUGAGCCCACGCACAGGAAGCGUGGGCUGUGAAGUGGCCACACCCCCAGCCGCUGCUCCAGAAGGCUCUCCCCGCACAGGCCUAGCCUCACAAGCGUGUGAGUUGGGAACACGCCACCGAGGGAGGCGGAGAGGCCGCGGACCACUUCUCCUGCAGCAGCAAGGCGCUUCCGGUGAUGUGCACGGCAAGGCGUCCCUGAAGCCAACAGCCCAUUACAGGGAGAGUUAACCCAUAAAGCGGGAUGGAUCACAAGAAGGUAAUUCAACUGCAAGACUCUUGACAACAGCAUUAAUCUAAUACUGCUUGGGAGGGAAAUCACUUUUUUUUGGUUUGGCGUUUUCAUUAACAGAACCACCCGACUGUCACUUAAAAAGCUGCGUCAGGAAAAACAGCCUCUCACGUGGUCUUUACUAGACAGAAUGACCUGACCUCGCUUUAUAUAAACCACAGAAUUGCUCGUUGAGCCACAGGCUGCAGGCCAUGUAGGCUAAACUUGGGUUUGUGAUGGCAUUCCAGAUACAAAUGCCAUUUACUGAUUGGGGGUUUUUCCAGCAAGGGUGGCUCGUGCGUAAGGGGACAGGAUGGAAAAAUCCUGAACAGGAGUUCCCACUGGGGCUCAGCGGGUGAAGAACCCAACGCUGUCUCUGUGAGGAUAUGGGUUGGACCCCUGGCCUGACCCUGUGUUGCCCUGGCUGCGGUGUAGGCCUCAGCGGCAGCUCUGAGACACGUGACCCGGGAACUUCCAUAUGCCACAAGUGCAUAAAAAGAAAAACCAAAAGCAAAAAAAACCCCUGGACAGCAUUCAGAGGGACACCACUUCAGAGCGCUUCUCAUGGGCAUUAGAGGGAAGCGGCGUUAGCGGGAAGCUCACCGGAACCUUCCCCUGCUCUUUUUCUUUUCAGGAGCUCCAGUCCCAUUUGGUUUAAACAAACAGCUCGGAGUCACAGAAAGCACCAGGUUUGCAUCUGAGAGCUGUGUUCACGCCCGCUUCUUUCACAAGAUGCUGAUGGGUACGCGAUGAGCCCACUCUACCUGGGCUAUAGUUUGAUCCGCUCAGUGUUCAUAACCUGGGGGAUGAGAAAACACCUCCCAGAUCCACCAAGGGAAACGGUACCACUGCAUUAAAUAGGCAAGAAGUUCAGGAUAAGCAUACUUUAGGGCUUUACACAAUGGAAUGACGCUGCUGCACGACAGACAACAAAACACAUAACGUGCAUGUAUGAAUAUGAUGGAUGCGUUCUUUGCAUUCGCAGCAAGAAAGUGGAAACAACUUAAGCUUCUUUUCUUGUGUCCUGAAGUAAAAUUCAUGAAGAACUUCUCCAAACAUUCCUCACCAAAACCCUCUCACACUUACAAAGAGGUUCUAAAACUAGAGGUGAAGCAAAACUCUCUAGAGCUGUGGCUCAGACACUUGAGCAUCACUUCAGAGUCAUUUCAAAUACUCAGGAGAUUUGUAUACACAUUAAUGUUUGAGAAGCACCGGCCUAUAGCACUUUUUCAAUUAAGCUUUUCCUUUUUUUUCUGUAAAAAAAAAUUUUUUUUUUAACUGAGGUAUAGGUUUGUUUUGUUUUUAUGGCCCCACCUGCAGCAUAUGGAAGUUCCCAGUCCAGGGGUCGAAUUGGAGCUGCAGCUGAGGCCUAUGCUGAAGCUUGUGGCAACACCAGAUCCUUAACCCACGGAGCGAGGCCAGGGAUCAACCCUCCAUCCUCACGGAAACAAUGUCGGGGUCUUAGCCCAAGGAGCCGCAACGGGAACUCCUCGAGUAAGCUUUAAUUACAUACAAGAGCUAGACUCUGAAUGAACUCCAUGUUACAGUUCAUUAGAACAGGGUGGAGGCUGCUUUGUCAGAUACGAGGAGGCUUUCCUUCAUCUGUGGCUUGACGCUACCUAAGCAACCAUCGCCAGUGUCGGGGUUUAGCACACCACACGCACUGAAGGCAAAGGGUACGGGGAUGUUCUCAGGUCGUCAGCAUUAAUGUCUCAACAGGACUUACUUAAGAAACUAGUCCUCAAAGUCAGAACUUCUAAAUUUUGUCGUCAGUGCUUCUCAAGCUUUGGCAGGCCUGAGAAUCACCAGGGGAAUUUGUUUUAAAAGGAAGAUAGUAAGGUCUCACCACCCAGGAGUCCUAUUAGGUUCAUCAGGAGUGAUUCUAGCAAUUCUAAGAAACGUGACAUCGGGGCUGGGAUUAGAAGGCACCCAGGGCACAUUUAGGGAAGUACUUACCCUCAGGUGCAAGCAAAUGCAAGACUGCCACCUGAGCAAACCUGACUGUAUGUGCCUCCUUAAAUGUCACAUUCAGGGCAUCUCGCUGGACUCAUCCUGGUCUUGGGCUUGUAUUGGGUGAGUCCAUGGACCAGCAGCACCAGCACAGUCUGGAGCCUUUUUAGAAAUACAGAAUCGUGGCCUAACUCCAGGACCACUGAAUCAGAAUCUGCAGGUUAACAAGAUUCUCAAGUUACUCUUUCAUUAAUUUUUUUUAGGGCCGCACCCGUGGCACAUGGAGGUUCCCAGGCUAGGGUCCAAUCGGAGCUACAGCUGCUGGCCUACGCCACAGCCACAGCAACGCGGGAUCCUCAACCCACUGAGUGAGGCCAGGGAUCAAACCCACGUCCUCAUGGAUGCUAGUCAGCUUCAUUACCGCUAAGCCAUGACGGGAAAUCCUCUCAGGUUAUUUCUUGUGCACACUGAAGUUUGAGAAACACUGAAAACAAGGGGAUGCCCAAACAAAGUCUUGCAACUGACACGAAAAUGCUAAGCUCUUUGUAACACAACAUGAUACAGGAACGUGAGCAGCGGCUGCCCACUGAGCUCAAAGGACAGCCCUACACUGACCAGCAGUUUUGUCGCUCUCUCUUAACCCCUGGCCUGAAUAACGACAUGAAAGAGAUGCUUGUUAAUCUGCAGGUGGAAUAAAACAAGAGGCUGCUGGUGCAAAAAGAAAGAACCAGGCCAUCUUGACAGGCCGGAGGACAGGUCGCACGCUGAACUAUAAUAAGUGUAGGAAAAAUUUUACACUUAAGCUAAAAAUUUCAAUAAUGAAUGUAUAUAAGAUGUGUGACAGUUUGCCUGGCAGCAAAACCUAUGAAAGAUCCUGGGAAUAAGUCCGGAAGUAAAUCAUGCAUUUAAUAUAAUGGCAUUUCACAUCAGUGGGAGAAAAUGAAUAAUUUAAUAAAUGGUGUUGGAAUAAUCGGGUAGCUAACCGGGAAAAAAAAUGAAAGUGUACCUCCACCCGCACGUCUUACAGCAAAAUGAAUUCCCGAAGGAUCGAAGAGUUAAACAUAAAAGCAAAUCUAUUACAGUAUGAGAAGAAAAUAUGAGGAAAACUUUCAAAAAAUAACCUCAGAGUGGGUGAGGCCUCUCUAAGCAAGAACAACAUCCGAAUGAUAUAAACAAAACCCAGAGGCUCUUUUUUAAAAGUGGAGACCUUUGACUGUAUCAAGAAAAGCACCUGCUGAGAACUAUGUCUAGAUACUCAUGCUGCAACAGAACGAAGGGUGGGGAAAAAAAAAUGUAAUGUAUACAUGUAAGGAUAACUUGAUCCCCUUGCUGUACAGUGGGAAAAUAAAAUUGAAAAAAAGAAAAAAAGAAAAAAAGAAAAGCACCUGCAUGGUAAAUCCCACUGUGAGCAAAACCCGGAGAAAGAUGACAAAGGGGGGUUACAACUGGCAUCAAAAACACAGUUGCCCUCCUGGGGAAGAGGGAGAAGACGAGUCUCGCGCUGCUGUAAAUGGCUGAGUCGGGGUUAAUGGAAGACAUUUCUGUGAGUUCAAUGUCAGCUGAACGUAUGGAAGACCUUUCUAAGAAUCAGGCCAAGGCGAACCAGCCAACUUCUAGGAAUUUCUGGAAGGGAGGACCACGCAAGACGGGAACUCAGCAACAUGAUCUUUGAGGUUCCGUCAGACUCUAAAAUGAUGCCGUUCCAACCCAAGGAUGACAUCACCUCCGGAAGAGUUCAGAGCACACAAGCAAAGCCGCGAGGCCCUCUCACCUCCCAAAGGACCGGAGACCACUGUGCUCGGGGCUCUAACUUUUCACUCAAAGCACAAUGUCCUGGGGCCGGGGGCAGGGGGUGGGGGAGGAGGAAUGGCGGGUGUACACGACUUACCCACUCAUGACUCCAGCACUUGGGAGUAUUUUGAGUUUUUGGUGGUUCGGGCUGGGCAAUCCUAUUUCAUUCCCAUUCCUUCCCUUGGCUCUCCCCUUACGCAAAGCACAAGAAGGACUGGGCAAGAGAGUGGGUUAGGGUUGGAGAAUUAAGCACGAGGUCCCAGCAGUGCGGUUCUCAGUUGUAUAAAACCCCUAACCCUUGAGCGAUACCUAGAUGUCAGUGUCACUUUCACUGCCGUCUGACUGUGAGCUAAUGAGCACGAACGAACAAACCAAUAGGACCAAAAAUUCAGCGCACAAAUGGGCGAUAGUUGUGCAAGGCCGGGGGUCCCUGGCCAGCCUGUCAGUGCAAACCUGGCGAACCCAGGCAUCUUGAGACACGGAGCAGCCGCGCUUUUUCCAAGGAGAAAACGCCCCCGGAAUCCCAGCAACUGAGGAGGUAAAGCAAAAGGGAAGAAAAGUCUUUGUCACUGUGAAUGACGGUGCUUACGACAAAGCAAAGGUCAGCUGGACAAGACGGAGAAGGCUGACCACAAUCUGUCAAGGCUCUGAAGGCAACCUCCUAACUCCUCUCUCCAAAGCUCUAAACGUCAGCAACACCAACUUUACUGUGACACCGAAUCUCACUUCGAAAUCUAGUGCUUCCUUUUGUCUUACACGCCACUAAAUACCUUUUGGCUGUGAUGGGGAGAGUUUUUGGUUCAAAACCAUAACGAAAAGAAUGAAUGGGGACAAGAAAGAAGAUGCUCUGAGGAUGAGAGAGCAAUAAAUAACCAGCUCCAAGAGGAGAUGAGAAGAAUCACCCGAAGCAUCAUGACCUAAAACGCAGGUAAAACGGAAUAAAAGCGCGUGAAGGCCGGGUAGGGAGGGAAUCCCCAGGGAGGGUGGGAGAGGAGGACGGUGACGACGCUGUGACCGAGUUUCUCUCCAGGCCAUCGGGGGGCACCAGUGGUCCAGGACACGGUGGCGGCUCCAGGUAGAGGCUCCCUGAGCCGGCUUCCCCAGUCAUGGGGUGGUCCCAAGUGGGGGAUACUCAUCUAUCAAUCAUUAGAAAUGCUUUCAUAGCCCGGUGAUUACAGAAAAAGAAAAUCAAAUAAAACGGACUUCUGUAUUUGCUUAUCCAAAUCCAAAAGGGUGACGACAAACAGUGUCAUGUGGUCCCCAGAAGCAGGAGCACCAGGGAGAGCUCAGACAGUCUCCAGGGAGCUCCUGCUGCUCCGAGCUCCCACCAUCCCCAGGCAGCAGGCCCGGAGUGCCAGCCCCUGAGGCCCGGGCUGCAGGGCAGGGGGACGGAGCUCACAGGGCGAGGGCGAGGGGAAGGGGCCUGGAGCAGCGACCUCAAAGACAGACGGGUCUCAGGGACACGGUUGGCUCCGAGAAAGCAGAAUGAACGUGGGGUGCAUAGCGCGGGCAUCUGGAAAGGCAGGAGGUUAAGUGCCUUGCUCGAUAUCACACGCGAAGAGCACGAAUGUUACCCGUGUAACUGUUUUGCUGCUCCAGCCUUUUCCACCAGACGCCACAGAGUCACAAUUCCUUUUUUUUUUUAAGGUGGAAUGUAUUGCUUCAAGGUACAUAUAACAAACAGGUCUGCCAGACAGGCGAGCCCGGACAACACAUACCAACAAAUCUAUUCCUUCAGAAUGUGCGGCCCUCCUUCCUCAAGACUGCUGGCCGGCAAAACCCUUCCAAGACCUGCACGACACUGGAUCACAAACCAUGAGCCUUACCGGCAGCUCCAUGACCUGUCCUGGGGUCGGCAACAUCCUUGGCCCUGAGCGUCAGUCAAGUGUGAGGCCUCUGGCAGCUACCCGCUACCGGGGGAGCCGAAGAGGCGGCGGAGGGGAGAGAGGUGGAGAAGGGCAGGGCGGAGGGGAGCAGGCGUAUAGAAACGGAGCACCCCCAAAGCAAGCCCAAAGCUGCUUUUGCAGCUUAGACCACCCGGAGUGCCCCUGAACUGUGCCGUCCCGGCUGCUCUGCAAUUUGAAUAACACUGGCUUCAAAUGUCCAUGGCAAAACCACGUGUUAGAAGCACCGUUUUUCACAUCAGACCCUGGGUGUUGGGGAGCUGGCCCAGGGGUGUAAGGAGCUUUCAGGACCCAGGGAGGCAGCUCUGCUGAGACAGAGGCUGGGGGCACUGCCCUGCCUGGUACCUGCUCCGUGUCUUCACAUUAUUUCAUUUACUCCUCACAAAACACCAAUAAGAUAUGUGUUAUCUCCACUCUGUAAAUGACAAGACACACCUACAGAGGAUACGUUACUCCCCGAGGCCUCAGCAACAGCAGCAACAGCACGUGGCAGGGCCAGAUCCUAAUCUAAGGCUCUCAAAGUGACAGCAGCCUUCCUCUGGCGAGAAGCAGGGAGCAGCUCCUCCAGCCGGCGGCAUUCGGGCCACUCACGACUCUGCACACGCGGCAAAGACGCUGCCUUGGCGCCCAUUCAUUCAUCCCAGACGAUGUCCCAACUGCCACCACGUCUAGAGCUCGGCUGCAAACACCGAUACAACCACGAAGGAGACAGCCAGGCUGCCCUACCCUGAAGCGGUGGGGCAGUGAUGCAGGGAAUAAAGACAAGGGCAAAUAACACGACAUCAGAUAGCAAGACGGGCUACCAAAAACAAGACCCCACAUGUGAGAGCGGGCAAGGGUCCUAAUUCAGACUGAGGGAGGGGGGACCCAGCGCUGAGACCUGAGAGACCAGACCCACCCCCGCAAAUAGCUAGAGGCAGAACAUUCCAGGUCAAAGAAUCACACCAGCGCCCUGAGGACACAACAGGCUCAGCGUGAAAGAAAAAAACCAGACCUGUUUGCCUGGAGCAGAAUAAGAGAUGUAGUUAGAUGGAUAUUCAGGAAUAGGUCAUGCUGCUCCUGAGGUAAAAGUAAAGUUUGCAUUUUAUUCCGUGAUUGGAAGUUAUCAGAGGGGUUUUUUUUGUUUGUUUGUUUGUUUUGCACCCGUGGUAUAUGGAGGUUCCCAGACUCGGGGUCCAAUCGGAGCUACAGCUGCCGGCCUACACCACAGCCACAGCAACGCAGGAUCUGAGCCACAUCUGUGACCUACGCCACAGCUCACAGCAACGCCAGAUCCUUAACCCACUGAGCAAGGCCGAGGAUCAAACCUGCAACCUCAUGGUUCCUAGUCGGAUUCGUUAACCACUGCUUCACGAUGGGAACUCCACAAAUCUUUAUACUUGAAAAACCUAAGGAAAUGACAUUAAAAUGUAGGACUGCUGUUGAAUAAAAGACAUAUGAACAAAGUUGACGAUGGGUGAAGGCCAGGACAUCCGCAACAUGUGUCACUGACGUACGAUUAACAUCUGGAACAGACAGAAUUUCACUGGGCAAAUGGGACAAGGAUACGACUAGGUCAUUCAUCAAUGGAAAAUGCAUAGGCCGGUUUACACAGAGCUCCUGAUCCUCACCAGCCAUCGGAGAAACACGCUACGUCUGCCAAACUGACAAAGGAUUUGAAAGUCAGAUGCUUGGUGCUCACAUCGUGCUGAACAGAGAGAGAGCAGUCAUGCUGUACUUAGUGAAACUAAGAAUGGACUGGGAGUUCCCGUCGUGGCUCAGCGGUAAUGAAUUGGACUAGGCUCCAUGAGGAGGAGGGUUUGGUCUCUGGCCCCGCUCAGGGGGUUAAGGAUCUGUGAGCUGUGGUGUAGGUCGCAAAUGCAGCUCAGAUCUGGCAUUGCUGCGGCUGUGGUGUAGGCCAGCAGCUACAGCUUCAAUUUGACCCCUAACCUGGGAACUUCCAUAUGCUGAGGGUGCGGCCCUUAAUAAAGACCGAGGGUGGGGGAGGGAGAAUAGACUUGGGGAAGUUCCCUGGUGGCUCAGCGGGUUAAGGAUCUGGCAUUGUCACUGCUGUGGCACAAAAAGCUGCUGUGGCUUAGCUUUGGUCCCUGGCCUAGGAACUUCCACAUGCCACAGCUGCAGUCAAAAAAACAAAAACAAAAAACAAACAGGGAUUCCCACCACAGUGAAGCGGGUUAGGAAUCCACCUGCCACAGCUCGGGUGGCUGCAGAGGUACAGGUUCAAUCCCCGGCCCAGAGCGGUGGGUUAAAGGAUCUGGUAUUGCCGUAGCUGCACCAUAGGUCACAGCUGUGGCUUGGAUUUUUUUUUUUGGACUUUAUAAAAAUUAAGGAUUUAUUUUCAACAAAGGAUAUUAUGAACAAAGUUAAUAAACAUACAGCAAAUUAGUAGAUAUCAUUAAAAUUGUCUAAUACAAACAAGACGCUGAUAUGUAGAAUACAUGAGAAAUGCCUCCAAGUCAACAUUGAAAAGGAAACCCAAUGGGAAACAGGAAAACUCACGGAAAAGCAAACCCAGGUGCCUGAACUGUUCAUGAAGAGAUGUACAAAAUCAUUAGUAAGUAGAUAAAUACAAAUUUGGGGUUUUGGGCUGCAACCAUGGCAUGUGGAAGUUCCUGGGCCAGGACUGAACCCGAGUGUGGUUUGGAUUUGACCCCUGGCCCCAGAACUUCCGAACGCUGCAAGUGCAGCCUUAAAA
This is a non-coding RNA of Sus scrofa (pig), 9217 nucleotides long. The record is from RefSeq and is a predicted model, not a curated record. NCBI's taxonomy places the organism in Eukaryota, Metazoa, Chordata, Mammalia, Artiodactyla, Suidae.